This 206-nucleotide ribosomal RNA is filed under the name uncultured bacterium. RNAcentral describes it as "partial 16S ribosomal RNA". It matches the Rfam family "Bacterial small subunit ribosomal RNA", at positions 568 to 774 of the family's 1533-position model. The record is from RNAcentral.
CAUGUAGGCGGAUUAAUAAGUUUGAAGUGAAAUCCUAUAGCUUAACUAUAGAACUACUUUGAAAACUGUUAAUCUAGAAUGUGGGAGAGGUAGAUGGAAUUUCUGGUGUAGGGUAAAAUCCGUAGAGAUCAGAAGGAAUACCGAUUGCGAAGGCGAUCUACUGGAACAUUAUUGACGCUGAGAUGCGAAAGCGUGGGGAGCAAACA